Molecule: unclassified non-coding RNA, 353 nt
Filed under: soil metagenome
Description: partial contains 5.8S ribosomal RNA, internal transcribed spacer 2, and large subunit ribosomal RNA
Rfam family: 5.8S ribosomal RNA (bases 1-120)
Source: RNAcentral
GAUGAAGAACGUAGCGAAAUGCGAUAAGUAAUGUGAAUUGCAGAAUUCAGUGAAUCAUCGAAUCUUUGAACGCACAUUGCGCCCGCCAGUAUUCUGGCGGGCAUGCCUGUUCGAGCGUCAUUUCAACCCUCAGGCCCCCAGUGCCUGGCGUUGGGGAUCGGCGCGGCGCCCUCCGGGGCGCUGCCGGCCCCGAAAUUCAGUGGCGGUCUCGCUGUAGCCCUCCUCCGCGUAGUAGCACAACCUCGCGGCCUGGAGCUCGGCGGUGGCCAUGCCGUAAAACACCCCACUUCUGAAAGUUGACCUCGGAUCAGGUAGGAAUACCCGCUGAACUUAAGCAUAUCAAUAAGCGAGGA